RNAcentral lists this long non-coding RNA (866 nucleotides) under Homo sapiens (human). RNAcentral's name for it is "HSALNT0314042". Lineage: Eukaryota; Metazoa; Chordata; Mammalia; Primates; Hominidae. The record is from RNAcentral.
GGUUCGCGGUCCUAUAAGGCGCUGCUUGUUUAAGUACAUCGCAUUUAGUUGAAGCUGCAGGGGAGUGAGGGAGAGGAGGAUAGGAAGCAGGAAAGCGGGAGAGCUCGAGGGACAAGGGGGCUCGGUGUGUUUACACCAGGCACGGGCUACGAGCGUCCAUCCCGGCCCCUGGCUUGCGCUCCCGAAGAGGAGAGCAAGGCUGUUCUGGGAUCCGGCCGUCGUGCGGCAAGAGGCUUGUCUGUCCGGGUUGCCGGAACCAGGAGAACCCAGAGGGAAACCGAGGGAAAGGAGCGGCGCGUUUUACUAGAGAGAGCGCGAGCGGAAGAGGCGAGAGCAGGAGCGCGCGAGGGAGCAUCGAGCGCAGCGGAGACAUGAGGACCUACUGGCUGCACAGCGUCUGGGUGCUGGGCUUUUUCCUGUCCCUCUUCUCAUUGCAAGGAUUGGUUCUCCUGGCAACCAGCUACCAUCCUGAGGCUGUCCAGAAGUCCCCAGCCAUCAGUCUUCUUAUUGGCACACAAAAUGGCACUUGUCAGUUUGGAGAUUCCAGAGGUUUUAGGAGCUGUGUGCCAGAAAAUAGACAUGAAGACCAAUUAUGUAUAUUUGAUUAUAAAUCGCAAUAUUGUAUCUUCACUUUUUAUUCUUCAGGCUUCAAAUAAUAAUAUUAGAACCAGUUUCUGAUGAAAUAUGUUUUCUCUCAUAUAUGAUUUUCACUAAGGCCAGAGUAGAAUCUGCAUUUUAUUAUUAUUUUUAGUUUCAGUACAAAAUGGGUAUGAAUAGUUCAUAAAUUACAAGUGUAUAAGUAACUAUCACCCAGAUCAACAAAUGGGACAAUAUCAUUUCCCAGAAGUUACCCUAUGCCACUGUAC